Molecule: long non-coding RNA, 469 nt
Organism: Suricata suricatta (meerkat)
Lineage: Eukaryota; Metazoa; Chordata; Mammalia; Carnivora; Herpestidae
Exons: 4
Source: RefSeq, a predicted model, not a curated record
CAAUCAGCGGGCCCGCGCUGAGGUAUAGGCACAGAGGGUGGGUAAAGGCGCCCCGCUUCCGGUGGCAGGGUCUGGGGAAGGGGCGGCAGGCGCCAUGUCCGGCCGCGAAGGUGGCAAGAAGAAACCCCUGAAGCAGCCCAAGAAGCAGGCCAAGGAGAUGGACGAGGAAGAUAAGGCAUUCAAGCAGAAACAGAAAGAGGAGCAGAAGAAACUCGAGGAGCUAAAAGCGAAGGCGGCGGGGAAGGGCCCCCUGGCCACAGGUGGAAUUAAGAAAUCUGGCAAAAAGUAAGCUGUUACUUGUGCCCGAGGCAAUGGUGAUCUUUAAUUCCAUUCCUGUUUAAACCUCUGGAUUCCCUGCCACAGCAUCUGUUGCCACCUAUAGCUAGAAUGAAGUGUUGUCUUAGAUCCCGUUGUACAUUUAAGAAUAAGGUUUUGUAAAAAAAUAAUAAAAUCAGUCAAUUAUACAGUG